Long non-coding RNA from Cercocebus atys (sooty mangabey), 1173 nucleotides. RefSeq lists it as uncharacterized. The transcript has 3 exons. The record is from RefSeq and is a predicted model, not a curated record. NCBI's taxonomy places the organism in Eukaryota, Metazoa, Chordata, Mammalia, Primates, Cercopithecidae.
CUGUUCUUGUUACAGUGAAUGGAUCUCAUGAGAUCUGAUGGUUUUAAAAACAGGAGUCUCCCUGCACAAGCUCCCUCUUUGCUUGCCGCCAUCCGUGUAAGAUGUGACUUGGUCCUCCUCAACUUCUGCCAUGAUUGUGAGGCCUCCCAAACCACAUGGAACUAUAAGAACAAUGAAGCACAGAGAGAUUAUGUUAACUUGUCCAGUGCCAAAGAGCUAUUAAGUGGCAGAGCUGGGAUUUAUUGCCACUGCACUGUUGCCUCUUCUGUUAGGAGCUCUUUGCUGUGCUGAGAUUGCAGUAUUUAAAGAUAGAGGACUCAUGUGACUCAACAGGACCCACUUGGAUAACUUCCGUAUUUUAAGGUCAACUGUACCAUAUAAAAAAAUCUAAUCACAAGAGCAGAAUCCACGAUAUUCAUGGUCAGUAAAGCAGGCAGUUCAAAUUCUAAGAAUAUAUGCAUUUUCUGUGAAACCCAAUAAGGUUAUUUUCUUUUAGAAUAAAAGAAAUAUAGCUCUUAAGCAAUACACCAAUAAUUGUUUAAUUUAAUAAGUUUCAAUUCAGAAAUAUGUAUUUCUGACUAAUUUUCUAACAUUAGAACAUACCACCAACCCUCUUCACUCUUACCCUGCAAAAAUCCACUGAAAGACUGCCUGGGUGAAGCAAAUCUGAAUUGGCAUUCAAAAUAACUGAUUUUUGCAGAGUGAUGGAUGACAAUUUUCAAGUAGUUACUAUGCUCUGGAUAAUGUUCUAGAUAAUGAACAUGCAUCCAAUAAUUUAAAUCACACAACCACCUGUGGAGUGGUUGCCCAUUUGAGAAGGAAGAAACCUGAACUAGAUAUAUUAAAUAAAUUGCUCAACAUCAGAGCUCGUAAGUAGCUGAGUCAAAUGAAAACCAAGUCUUACCAAUUAGUCUGUGUUGUUGUUAUUUUAAACUGCCUGAAUCAGCUAACUAGGGUUUAUAUUUCUGAGCUACCCCCUCGCCCCCAAUUAUUCUUGCUUCUGUGAACUUUCUUCUUAACCAUGGCAAAUUAUACCCACUUUAAGCUUUUCAUGAUGUCGCAGGGACUUCUUUAUGAAUUAAAUUACUUUAAUGCCAAUAUUGGUGAGAUUAUGUGUGAUAUUAGAUAACUACUUUUAUUACUCAUUCUUUUUUUCUUUCACCAAUGUUUGUA